This is a long non-coding RNA of Oncorhynchus tshawytscha (Chinook salmon), 440 nucleotides long. The record is from Ensembl. NCBI's taxonomy places the organism in Eukaryota, Metazoa, Chordata, Actinopteri, Salmoniformes, Salmonidae.
AUACAGGGGGUACCAGUACAGAGUCAAUGUGGAGGCUAUAUACAGGGGGUACCGGUACAGAGUUCAUGUGGAGACUAUAUACAGGGGGUACCGAUACAGAGUUAAUGUGGAGAUUAUAUUCAGGGGGUACCGGUACAGAGUUAAUGUGGAGGCUAUAUACAGGGGGGUACCAGUACAGAGUCAAUGUGGAGACUAUAUACAGGGGGUACCAGUACAGAGUCAAUGUGGAGACUAUAUACAGGGGGGAGUCAAUGUGGAGACUAUAUACAAGGGGUACCGGUACAGAGUUAAUGUGGAGACUAUGUACAGGGGGUACCGGUACAGAGUCAAUGUGGAGACUAUAAACAGGGGGUACCAGUACAGAGUCAAUGUGGAGACUAUAUACAGGGGGUACCGGUACAGAGUCAAUGUGGAGACUAUAAACAGGGGUACCGGUACAG